RNAcentral lists this ribosomal RNA (329 nucleotides) under uncultured eukaryote. RNAcentral describes it as "partial 18S ribosomal RNA". It matches the Rfam family "Eukaryotic small subunit ribosomal RNA", at positions 1470 to 1796 of the family's 1831-position model. The record is from RNAcentral.
CCCUUAGAUGUUCUGGGCCGCACGCGCGCUACACUGAUGAAUUCAACGAGUCUAAAACCUGCUCUGAUAGGGGUGGGUAAUCUUUUGAAUGUGCAUCGUGAUUGGGAUAGAUGAUUGCAAUUUUUCAUCUUCAACGAGGAAUGCCUAGUAAACGCAAGUCAUCAGCUUGCAUUGAUUACGUCCCUGCCCUUUGUACACACCGCCCGUCGCUCCUACCGAUUGAAUGAUCCGAUGAAUAUCAUGGAUUGAGGAUUAUAGCAGGUUCGCCUGUCUUGAUCUUCGAGAAGUGAAGUAAAUCUUAUCAUUUAGAGGAAGGAGAAGUCGUAACA